AAAAAUAUAAAAAUCCUUUUUCUCCCACAUACACAUUCAGUAUUCAAUUUUCUCUCUCUAACCUUUACAUCUGUGGCAACAGAAAAGGAUAAAGAGCAACGAUAAUCAACAGGGAAUAGCGAUUGGAUGGAGAGACGGCGACUGCUCAUCGACAGUAAAGCAGUGGCGUUAAAACCGGCAUGAAGGGGAGUGGUUUUUGGGUAAGAUUGGCCGGAUCUGAGAGAGAUAAUGAUGACUGGCGACUUGGAGGGAGAUUUGGUCAGCGUUUAAGCCAUUGGGGGUGUCACUGGAAGCGUUGGCGAUUUCAUCGGUGUCUAUUACCAGUGUUUUUUAUGACGGAAAGGGAGAGAAAAGAGGGGCGCAGCUUUUGAUGAUGGUUUUCGAUGGUGGUGUGAUAAUUUUUUUGGUGAUUUCCCGAUCUAAUUUUGGAGAUGGAUAAUACAUUCCGUUGAGGAAAUAAUUCCGACAAGGAUGGUUUCGUAACUGAUUUCCCAUUUUUAUAUUUUUUCAUUGUUUUUAUUUUGGAUUCACUAAUUUUUUCUUUUCUCUACACUGGUUUUCUAUCAACUGUAUGUGUUUAUUACUAUGUUUAUGCAUACGUAUUGUUAUUCAUGUAUUUCUCCUCUGUAUUAUAUCAUUAUUCUAUGUGAAUCCAAAUAUGUGUGGUGUGUGCAAGAAUUAUAUUUGUGAUUUGACGAACAGAG
Molecule: long non-coding RNA, 704 nt
Filed under: Capsicum annuum
Lineage: Eukaryota; Viridiplantae; Streptophyta; Magnoliopsida; Solanales; Solanaceae
Description: long non-coding RNA (CANN_LNC014606)
Source: RNAcentral